GUACUUUCCACUCUUUUCUAAUGGACCUUGUGCUGAAUCUCGCAGGCCUGAAUAGAGUUUGGAAAUCCAGAAUGGAUCUGUGUUGUGCUCUCAGGUUAUUCCCGAGUUACAUCACGAUUCCUCAGGCUUCCUGCUGUUCAGUGGGACUGAUGAACAGAUGUCUGUGGUGCCUAACAUCUCCUUGCUGAAGCUGUGACACAUAGAUAAUGUCAAUGGUAAGCAUGCAGGCACGCUGCUGAUAUAACACAAAAUAUCUGGGUCGUAGUCAGGCAGACAUCUCCACGUUUGCCAAGUAGCCAAGUCCUCCAUUUAUCCAGUAGAAAAAGUGGAAUUAUUUAAAAUUAUUUUAAAUUAUUUAGAAUUAUUUAAAGUUGUAAGUCAUGCUACACCCUAUAAUUUUCUUUCUUGCCUACAGUUUUUCAUCGUAUGUGCUUUAAUGGGCAACCUUAUAGCCUGGAUUGUGAUCAGCAGAGGCCCUCUUCCUUUGAGGAACCCCACAUACAACUAACUGAAGGCUUCUUGGGAUGCAGGAGGAAUGAUCUUGUGCUGCAGGUAUGGAAACGACUGCUCAGAUGUCCUCACACAGUUCCCACAGAUGCCAGUGCCAGCUUGGGAAGCUCAUAUGCCCCUGUCCCCAGCGCCACUCCGUAAGAUGCACCAGGACAGCUGUUCGCAGGGCGACUGGAGAAACCAAGAACAGAACCAGGAAGAAUCCCUCCUUUUUAAGGUUAGUUUUAACACGGCCUGCUGAUGGCUAGCACUGCUGCUGGAAGAAAUUGUGGUUCCACUGGGAUGGAAUAUGGAGUGAGAACCAUACGCCUUCUGAUUCUCCCUACUUGUCUUGGUGGGAUUCUCAUGACUGAACAUAGUUCUGUAUAGCAGAG
RNAcentral lists this long non-coding RNA (884 nucleotides) under Anas platyrhynchos platyrhynchos (common mallard). RNAcentral's name for it is "lncRNA (ENSAPLG00000024393.1)". The record is from RNAcentral. Lineage: Eukaryota; Metazoa; Chordata; Aves; Anseriformes; Anatidae.